RNAcentral lists this ribosomal RNA (464 nucleotides) under uncultured bacterium. RNAcentral's name for it is "bacterial SSU rRNA". It matches the Rfam family "Bacterial small subunit ribosomal RNA", at positions 570 to 1040 of the family's 1533-position model. The record is from RNAcentral.
UGUAGGCGGAUUGGUGGGUCGAUGGUGAAAGCUUCCGGCUUAACCGGGAAAGUGCUGUCGAAACUACCGAUCUAGAGGGCAGGAGAGGAAACUGGAACUUCCGGUGUAGCGGUAAAAUGCGUAGAUAUCGGAAGGAACGCCAAUAGCGAAGGCAGGUUUCUGGAAUGCUCCUGACGCUGAGACACGAAAGCUAGGGUAGCGAACAGGAUUAGAUACCCUGGUAGUCCUAGCCGUAAACGAUGCAUACUAGGCGUGGGGUCGCAAGCCCCCGUGCCGCAGCUAACGCGAUAAGUAUGCCGCCUGGGGACUACGGCCGCAAGGUUGAAACUCAAAGGAAUUGACGGGGACCCGCACAAGCGGUGGAGGAUGUGGUUUAAUUCGAUGCUACGCGAAGAACCUUACCUGGGUUUGACAUGCAAGUGGUAGGGACCCGAAAGGGGACCGACUGGAGAUUUUCUCCGGAG